UAUGUGAUCGUCUCUCGCAUAUCAAUAAGCGGAGGAAAAGAAACUAACAAGGAUUCCCCUAGUAACGGCGAGUGAAGCGGGAAGAGCUCAAAUUUGAAAUCUUAAAGGGUUUCCCUUUACGAAUUGUAGUUUAAAGAAGUGUUUUCUGUUGAGGUUUUGGUAAAAGUUCUUUGGAAUAGGACAUCAUAGAGGGUGAGAAUCCCGUAUUUGACCUUUACUUUCAACUUUGUGAUACACUUUCAAAGAGUCGGAUUGUUUGGGAAUGCAGUCCAAAAUGGGUGGUAAAUUUCAUCUAAAGCUAAAUAUUGGCGAGAGACCGAUAGCGAACAAGUACCGUGAGGGAAAGAUGAAAAGAACUUUGAAAAGAGAGUUAAACAGUACGUGAAAUUGUCAAAAGGGAAGCGUUUGACACCAGCGUUGUUUUUCUGAAAAUCAAUUAAAGAACUGUUUAUGCUAAGUUGUUUAGACUUUAUCAGCUAACUGUUUAGUUUUGAGCUUUUCUUUAAUGCACUUUUCAGUUAACAAGUCAACAUCAAUUUCUUUUGCUGUAAAAAAGCUUGAGGAAGGUGGCUUGAGAUUCGUCUUAAGUGUUUAUAGCCUCUUGCCUAUGCAGUCGGAGAGAUUGAGGUCUGCAGCGUAGAUCCUUCGGGGCUAAAUGCAUUUGUGCUAAGUUAUAGCAUUUUAUAGACAACUUGUUGACUAUGAUUUGUCUUGUAGCUUACUCGCUUAUGUUAUUUUACCUACGCUUAGGAUGUUGAGUCAUCACACAUCUCU
RNAcentral lists this ribosomal RNA (774 nucleotides) under uncultured Neocallimastigales. Its description in RNAcentral is "partial large subunit ribosomal RNA". It matches the Rfam family "Eukaryotic large subunit ribosomal RNA", at positions 24 to 614 of the family's 3401-position model. The record is from RNAcentral. Lineage: Eukaryota; Fungi; Neocallimastigomycota; Neocallimastigomycetes; Neocallimastigales.